Long non-coding RNA from Myxocyprinus asiaticus (Chinese sucker), 513 nucleotides. RefSeq lists it as uncharacterized. Lineage: Eukaryota; Metazoa; Chordata; Actinopteri; Cypriniformes; Catostomidae. The record is from RefSeq and is a predicted model, not a curated record. The transcript has 4 exons.
AAUUCCUCUUCCUCUUUUUGGGUGGAACCGCUAGGCCUCUCCAGUUUUCAACAGCGUCUUCAUCUUUUUGAAGGAUGUUUGUAACAUUGUCAGAUUUCCCAGAACAGGAAGCAUCCAUUUCUGGUUUUCCAUCAACACUGCAAGUUGUGAACAAAUUUGCAUGUUGCCUUCAAUGAAGGACAGAUGUCGAGCAAUUAAUCGAUCCACCCGAAUAGGCAAGUUUUCACGCUUGAAAAGGCCAUGUUUGAUGUUUUUGAACUCUGCUUCAACAUUGGCUGAACUUGCGGUGAUGUUGGUGCUUCGAAAGUGAGGGAUCAUUACCCCUGUCCAGAGUGGUCUGUCUGUGUUUGGUCACAUGUAUCCACUUCCAGGUCCUCACCCUCUACAUCUGGAAUGAUGACACACUUUUCUGCAGUUCGGGCUUUCAGUCCCACUGGCUGAUCAUCUUGAUGCAGUGUGCAACAUCAACCCGAACAAAACAAGGUGGCACUUUUGCUGACUGUUUACCGAGUA